This is a long non-coding RNA of Juglans regia (Persian walnut), 953 nucleotides long. RefSeq lists it as uncharacterized. The transcript has 2 exons. The record is from RefSeq and is a predicted model, not a curated record. NCBI's taxonomy places the organism in Eukaryota, Viridiplantae, Streptophyta, Magnoliopsida, Fagales, Juglandaceae.
UUCUCAAAAACAUAAAAUCGUGGGUCCUACUGUGUUUGCAUUACUGGCCUGUCCUCGGGACCUUACAUCUCCCGAUUCAUCUCUUUCCCCUCACCGAUUCAUCUCUUUCCUCUCAAAAGGGAAACAGUUUCCUCGCCCAUCUCGUCUGUCUCCCCUCCAACCCCAUAUCAUCGUUCCGCGCCCUGCAUUUCAAUAUUCAUCUGAACACAAGUGAGACCCAGACUUUCACUUGAUCUUCAAGUGAAACCGCGACUCCAGCGUUUCAACUCCCGGCAAGGCGUGGUUUCAAGACCCUCCCUCUCCAGCUGAAUCGAAGGACGCAAGCACGUGAUUCCUUUGCAGACUCUCGAGUUCAAUCAUUCCGACACAACUACGAAGUUGAGAACCAGAACUAUGGCAACUAGUAGCAGUGUGUCCAUAAAUUCAACCGAUGCUAUGAGGCCAAAAGAGUAGCUGCUAUUGGGACAAAUACCUCAAUGUUAUUGUGGCAUGCCAUGCAAACUGCGGACGUCGGCCAAGGCCAUCAGUUUUGGGAGGUGUUUUUUUAAUUGUCGAUAUUAUAAGGGUCAAAAGUAGUGCGAAUUUUUCCAGUGGGUUGAUGUUUCAAUCUCGCUACCAAUUUGUUGUAAGCGGACGUUGCAAUUAGCAGAACGGAGAAGUCAAAGAUUAGCGGCUGAACAAAAAAGAAUAGAGGAUAGCAAGUUUCAAUCAAUGAAGAUGAAGUACAAAUGUGCGUUGAUCACAUCUUGGGUUUUAUUUAUUACCUUAUUAUGUAGUGUUAAAAUGUAUAAACUUAAUGAUAAUGUAAGUCAGUUAAUGCUACCUUAAUCAUUUCCCAUUAAAUCAUUAUUAUGAAAUGUAAACCGAACGGUUGUUAGCAGAAGACACUUUAUUCUGUACCUACGCUCAACAUAAGUAGUAACGGUUGGUUGUUUUUCACCGUUUAGGUGUCA